Molecule: ribosomal RNA, 450 nt
Filed under: uncultured bacterium
Lineage: Bacteria
Description: partial 16S ribosomal RNA
Rfam family: Bacterial small subunit ribosomal RNA
Source: RNAcentral
CCUACGGGGGGCUGCAGUAAGGAAUAUUGGUCAAUGGACGAAAGUCUGAACCAGCCAUCCCGCGUGCAGGAUGAAAGCCCUAUGGGUUGUAAACUGCUUUUAGCAGAGAAGAAAAGCUUUCAUUAAUGAGCGUCUGACGGUAUCUGCAGAAUAAGCACCGGCUAACUCCGUGCCAGCAGCCGCGGUACUACGGCGGGUGCGGGAGUUAUCCGGAAUUACUGGGGUUAAGGGGUGGUAUGAAGUCAUUUUUGAAAUCUUGUCGCUUAACGAUAAAAGUGCAAAUGAUACUGGUACUCUUGAAUUGGGUGGAGGUUAGCGGAAUGUGACAUGUAGCGGUGAAAUGCAUAGAUAUGUCAUGGAACACCAAUUGCGAAGGCAGCUAACUGGGCCUUGAUUGACGCUGAGGCACGAAAGCGUGGGUAGCGAACAGGAUUAGAUACCCCAGUAGUC